UUGGGUGAAGUGGACUAGGGCUGCCUAUCAGUGAUAAAGAAAAUACCAUCUCAAUGUGAAUGGUUCACAAAAUAAACAUGGAAAAGUGCAUGUUAUGGAGUGGACUACCAUAUGUUGAUAACACACAAUUUAAAAAUUUUAAAACAAAGGCUCUCUCUUAGCAGCAGCUAAACUAUGGACCAUUCUGUAGUUAGGAUAUCCAGCAAAUAAGAUUUUUCUUUUUCUUAAAGAAAAUGUCUUCCACAACCAAAACAGAAGAAAAACAGAAACCAACAACACCAAAGCUUAUGGCCUAGGUUAAGGUCAGAUCUUUAAAAAGCAAGCACACUAAAAAAAAAAAAGACUCAUUCAACUGUGAGACUCAAAGCUGUAGUCCUACAUCUCAAUUAAAGAUCGAUGCUGGUCCCCUUAUAUAACAGCAGCAGUGCAUGCUGUAACAUGACAAAGCACCAAACAAGCAGGUGCGGGAGUGCCAUGUUUGUUAGUGGUUGUUACAAUAAAAUAUAUUAAGCAAUGCAUCAAAAUAUAGUUAUGAGCAAGCAUUGCCAUGCCAGUCAGCAUGUAUUGGAACUAAACUUAUUUCGAUUCAUUUUAUCCUUCAACAUGCCUAUACAAAAAUUUCCAUUCACUUUAUCCUCAAUUGGAACUAACCUUAUUGUUGAGCAUGUAUGUAUUUCUUAUUCUCUCUUUUUAGUAACCAAGCACAUCCAUUUCAAUAUCCUACCUCAAAAAUAAUUUUAUGUAUGGUUGUUUCCUGACUAUCCAACAUACAAAACCAUGAAUGUUAGUCGGUCUCACAAUGAUCAUACCUUAUUUUAUUUUUAAUCUGUGUCAAAUGAAGAUCACAAGUCUCUUGAUGUCUCUGCACUUUCACCAUCUUUCUUUAAUUAAAUAAACAAUAUUUCCAUCAAUCUCUGUUGCCUAUCAAAUAUAGACCCCAUAUAUCUAAAAAUUACACUACUAAGAACACAUACACUGUGUCAAUUUAAAGAGGUGAAGACCAAGCGGGAUCAGGUUGACCUGAUGGGCUUAGGUCGGGAUUGACAAUCCCUGUAAUGCUGAAGUUAUACUUUAUAUACUCAGUCCUACAACAUAAUGAUUUAAAAAACCCUCUAAAUAUAGAGUGAAAAGGCAUAAAUAUAGAAGAUUAUGAAGUAAAAAAAACUUUAAAAAAUAAAAAUAAAGAAAGAAGAUAGCCUAAAGCAGAUUGACCAAAAUGAAUGCACUCUUUUUACGAAUGAUCCAUCAAACAAUAAUGAUUUAUGGUUUGAUCCAUCUAAUCCAGUCAAUCUCCUCUCCAUUUAUAGAUAAUAUUAUUUGACUAUUACUCUCGAGCACUGGAUAAGCCCAAUUUUUAAUCACUUUCUACUCAUCUUUCUUUUGCAUAAAUUUGAGCCCCUUUACGAUUCUUUCACAUAGGAAAGUUAUCCUUUUCUAGCUAUGUAUCAACUUCCCAAUGAAUAAUCAAGUAAGACUCACUGUGUAUCAAGAAUCGUUCUGUAACAUACAAUAAAACAGAUAAAG
RNAcentral lists this long non-coding RNA (1524 nucleotides) under Musa acuminata (dwarf banana). Its description in RNAcentral is "long non-coding RNA (MACU_LNC005160)". Lineage: Eukaryota; Viridiplantae; Streptophyta; Magnoliopsida; Zingiberales; Musaceae. The record is from RNAcentral.